Molecule: ribosomal RNA, 441 nt
Filed under: [Pediastrum] boryanum f. granulatum
Lineage: Eukaryota; Viridiplantae; Chlorophyta; Chlorophyceae; Sphaeropleales; Hydrodictyaceae
Description: eukaryotic LSU rRNA
Source: RNAcentral
CAACUCUCAACAACGGAUAUCUUGGCUCUCGCAACGAUGAAGAACGCAGCGAAAUGCGAUACGUAAUGUGAAUUGCASAAUUCCGUGAACCAUCGAAUCUUUGAACGCAUAUUGCGCUCGAGGCUUCGGCCAAGAGCAUGUCUGCCUCAGCGUCGUUUUGACCCCUCACUCCCAUACCUUUUUGGUAUCAUGCAUCAGGCUUUGCUUGAUGUUGGGGGUGGAUCUGGCUUCCCCAGAGCUUGCUCUGGGUUGGCUGAAGUGCAGAGGCUAGAGCACGGACCCAUAUGGGUGUCAACUGGAUAGGUAGACUCCACGUUAGUGGACUACACGAAGUUGUCGCCUGGGAUACGUGUUGGCAGCCAAACAGGAAACUUCUCUCACUUCGACCUGAGCUCAGGCAAGAUUACCCGCUGAACUUAAGCAUAUCAAUAAGCGGUGGAA